This 497-nucleotide ribosomal RNA is filed under the name uncultured bacterium. RNAcentral describes it as "partial 16S ribosomal RNA". It matches the Rfam family "Bacterial small subunit ribosomal RNA", at positions 28 to 507 of the family's 1533-position model. The record is from RNAcentral.
GAUGAACGCUGGCGGCGUGCCUAAUACAUGCAAGUCGAGCGAACGGACGAGAAGCUUGCUUCUCUGAUGUUAGCGGCGGACGGGUGAGUAACACGUGGAUAACCUACCUAUAAGACUGGGAUAACUUCGGGAAACCGGAGCUAAUACCGGAUAAUAUUUUGAACCGCAUGGUUCAAAAGUGAAAGACGGUCUUGCUGUCACUUAUAGAUGGAUCCGCGCUGCAUUAGCUAGUUGGUAAGGUAACGGCUUACCAAGGCAACGAUGCAUAGCCGACCUGAGAGGGGGAUCGGCCACACUGGAACUGAGACACGGUCCAGACUCCUACGGGAGGCAGCAGUAGGGAAUCUUCCGCAAUGGGCGAAAGCCUUACGGAGCAACGCCGCGUGAGUGAUGAAGGUCUUCGGAUCGUAAAACUCUGUUAUUAGGGAAGAACAUAUGUGUAAGUAACUGUGCACAUCCUGACGGUACCUAAUCAGAAAGCCACGGCUAACUACGUG